Molecule: long non-coding RNA, 2669 nt
Organism: Malurus melanocephalus (red-backed fairy wren)
Lineage: Eukaryota; Metazoa; Chordata; Aves; Passeriformes; Maluridae
Exons: 5
Source: RefSeq, a predicted model, not a curated record
UUUCGAAAGAUAAAAAAAAACCCCAACGAUUUUUAUAAUCACUAAUUUUUUUUUCCAAAAUUCUGCAAAAUUUAUAAUCUGAGAAAGAUACUCUUUCCUGCACCACACCACACUCUAGAAAUUGUUUUUAAACACCACUUCGUUUGAUGUAAGAAUUUCACUAUCUUUGUAUACUACUUACUAAUCCUCAGUAUUUGUAUUUCCCCACAGUACUCCUUAUUGUCACAGUCACCUUCAAGCACUGCCCAGUACUUUUUCGUGCUCUUAAAAUAUACAUCAUACAAAAUAUACAGCAUUAGUUAAACCUAAACAUCUCUUAGCACUUGCCUAAUCAUCAACAACCUUGUCAUCUGAGUUUUGUAUGGGAUCUCUGAAAAAAUUCAGAGUUCUCUGAAAAAAUUCAGAAAGUUCUCUAAUCUAGAGAAACUUCCCCAGUCACAAGGAUUGUCUUAUUAUACACAGUUAGAUGGAAUUGCCCCAUCUGAAUAAUUGACCAAGGGAAAAACCAAUGCUUAUAUAUAUUAACUAUCCUAUGGUGUUUCGAAGCUGUACAUUGCAAAAUCCAAUCAUGAACUUUGCCUUGAUCAUAUAAUUAAACACAAGAAUUCAUCUGCAUUAUCUAUUAGGAGUCAAUAAAUAACACAAACCCAAAAAAUGCAAAAGCCAUGUGAAGAUUGCACCUGAAAUAUAUGAUAAAAAUGCAGAACAGAUAUAUUAUGGAAAAAUAAUAAUACAGUUCCAUCUUAUCUAUACAAGUGCUAUCACAGUUUUUCUUUCGGUGCCAAAUUCUUCUGGAUGAUCAGCAGCAGAAAUGCAAUGAAGUUUCCCAUCUAAGCAUUUUCUGUUCUCUACAUUAUUUCAUUUCACCCCACUCUAGAUCUUAUAGGUCUGUGUUAAUAUUCAUCUGUAUUUAUUGAUACAGGGUCUGUUAAAUGUUUCCAUUUAUUUAAUUGUUUUGGUGUGUUUCAACACCAAUUGACUCAGGUUGCAGSUUCCAUUAAUCUUCCCUACUGACUGUGACAAAGCUCUCAUAAAUUUGUCCCACAAACACAAGUGGCAGAUCAUUUUUCAAAUUAGUUUCAUGUUACCUGGUGCAGGAGAAACUUCUUGUUGCCGUGACCAAGGACAGCACUUGUUAAACAACAGGGAAGCACUUCAGAAGUGACUGCUUUGGAUUUUGUUAGAUCAGGUAGCCUCCAAAAUAUUGAUAUGGAGCAGUCUGAACUAGACUGGCAGACAGAAUAUACUUUUGGAACGACUGCAGAAGUGUGUUUCUCUCUUGCAUAGAUUUCUUUGUUAUCAGCUGCAAUAUCAAAGUAAGUUUGCAGAGGGUUUAUAGACAUUUUUCUUCUAGACUCAAAACAAGAAACGAGCUGUUCAAAGCCACACAUUAGACGUGUGUAAAUAUGAUAAACACCUUUUUGGCUGGUCCAUUCAGGGGAAAUUGUUUCGUUUCCUCUCUUCCCACUUCAGGAAGAUGAAGAAAAGGCAGAGAAGAUAUUUAUAUUCAGCUACUACAUGGCAGAGAGUUUGAAGAUAAAGGUCAGGGAAGUGUGUGCCUUGGGAUGAAGGAACGAUGAAGGCCACGAGGCAGCUUUUGCGGAAGAUUGUGGAGUCUUUCCAGAAUAGAAAUGACAUUUUUGUUUCAUUAGUUGACUCCAGGCACAUCAGCAAUCCUGCCAACUGGACAAAAACCUGAAUGUGCUGAAUUUAUGGAGGAAAAAAGGGUCCAGACACGUGCCAAAGGGAGACUGCAACUGAAGGGGCUCACAGGAGAAGGAAGCAGCUCAGGAGAUAACGCUGAUGGAUUAGUGGAAUGAGAAACUUGUUCCAAAGGCAGCUUUACUGCUGAUCCUGUUUGUCUCACUUGAAUGAAAAGGAGAUGGGAAAACAUUAUCCUUCAUCAUAGCUGCUGCAGGAACAUCAAAGGCUGUCAUUGAAGAGACAGGCUCUUCAAGAAGAACAAAAAGAGACGAAUCACCAACCACAUUAGAGGGCUGAGCGGAGCAAGUGCAGGACUGGAAAGACAUGAUCUCCCUAAGGAUGCUGAAAGAACAAUAUUCCACGAGGUGGCAGGGUUGGUGACUGAGGUAAUUACAGGUGAGUGUUAGAUCCAGCUGUUAGAUCCUGAGCUCCGGGACACCUGAGCAUCACCCCUGAGCCUUGUCAGGACCUGGGACCUGGAAAUACUCGUCAGGAAUCCAGGUGAGGAAGGAGCAGUGCCUGGAGAACCUGCAGCAGAUUGAAACAGCUCUAAGGAGUGCAAGUGUCCUAAAGACACAUCUGUGUCUUAAACUCUCUGCCAGAGGAAAAAGAUACUAAAAAGAAUAAAAAUAUGGACUAAUUAUUAUUAGAAGUGAAAAAUCAAUGACAAAUAAUGGAUAGAAUACAACAGAGAGUUUCUCAGUCAAACACCUUACCUUUUAAGGUGGAAAAAAUAUUCUUACCAAUCUCAAUCUUGGAAAUACCUUAAACUUUCAAAAACAAAUAAACAAUGCACCCGAGCAGAAAAAAAAACCAAAAACCCUCUACUCUGAACCAUUCAAGUUGUUUAAUGUUGCAGGCAGUUAAUAAGACAUCUCACAAUAAUGUGUGCAGGGUUUUCUUAGUCCUGUAGGUGCACCACUCACCAUGGUAAUGACUGCCCAGUAUGUCUGUGAGUUGAAUAU